AGUGAACGCUGGCGGUAGGCCUAACACAUGCAAGUCGAACGGCCGCACAGUAAGAGCUUGCUCUUACGGUUGGCGAGUGGCGGACGGGUGAGGAAUACAUCGGAAUCUACUUUUUCGUGGGGGAUAACGUAGGGAAACUUACGCUAAUACCGCAUACGACCUACGGGUGAAAGCAGGGGAUCUUCGGACCUUGCGCGAUUGAAUGAGCCGAUGUCGGAUUAGCUAGUUGGCGGGGUAAAGGCCCACCAAGGCGACGAUCCGUAGCUGGUCUGAGAGGAUGAUCAGCCACACUGGAACUGAGACACGGUCCAGACUCCUACGGGAGGCAGCAGUGGGGAAUAUUGGACAAAGGGCGCAAGCCUGAUCCAGCCAUACCGCGUGAGUGAAGAAGGCCUUCGGGUUGUAAAGCCCUUUUGUUGGGAAAGAAAAGCAGCAGGUUAAUACCCCGCUGUUCUGACGGUACCCAAAGAAUAAGCACCGGCUAACUUCGUG
This 492-nucleotide ribosomal RNA is filed under the name uncultured bacterium. RNAcentral describes it as "partial 16S ribosomal RNA". It matches the Rfam family "Bacterial small subunit ribosomal RNA", at positions 29 to 507 of the family's 1533-position model. The record is from RNAcentral.